Molecule: ribosomal RNA, 86 nt
Filed under: uncultured bacterium
Lineage: Bacteria
Description: partial 16S ribosomal RNA
Source: RNAcentral
AAGCCACUAGGAACGCCGGGUCGUAACCCUAAAGUACGGGUAACCGGUAAGGAGGCCGACCGUAGGGUAAACUGGUGACUGGGGNU